UGGAAGCAGAUAGAUGGGCUGGGAAGGAAAGACACCUGGGUCUUCCUAUUAAGCCACUUCCUGAAUGAAGGAACAUUCCUCAAUGGAAGCUGGUCCUGAGGAUCUGAGCCUGCUAGUGGUCAGGGCAGAUCCUGUGGCUUCCUUCUGGCCUCAGCAUCUUUCCUCUCUUCAUUGUGUCCUCAUCUACCCAGUCUACACCAGGACCCAUAAGUCACAGUCCUUUCUCCACUGUGUGCCUUCCACUUAGCUAAGUAGGAAGGGGAGGGGUAGAGAACUUAAAAAGCUGACCUAGUAACAUUCUUUUUGUUUCUGUGUUGAUAGGCGCAGUCCUUUGAACCAACAGAGAUGUUACCAGUGACAUUCCAAGCUGAGGGAUAUCAAGAUAUCUUGCAUUUGGGGACUUUAAAGAUCCCUCAGUUCCACCAACCACCAUUAACUGCCAUGCCUACACCCGGUUCUCAGUGUCCUGAAGACAUAGGCAUCAUCAAAUGGAGGUCCCAUCAAGAUUGGGAAAGAGAGGACAACCUGACGAGAUUGUUCCAGGAAGGCGGCCGGUGAAGAAGGAGAGACGCAUUGGGGUAAAUGGGCCAGGAAAGGCCUCAGAAAGCAGGAUUCAGAAGGACCGUGGGAAUUGAAAGCACAUGCAAAGAAAAAUAAAGAUUUGGGCUAGUGACCUACGCCCGGUUCUGUGUUGUGACGACACAGGCAUCGUCAAAAUAUGACCUCACAGACAGUGGAAACUGGAGCACUGGACGGCUUUGCUUUACUUCACUGUUCUUCGCUAACAACAGGCAUGUAGCGGUUUG
Molecule: long non-coding RNA, 806 nt
Organism: Rattus norvegicus (Norway rat)
Lineage: Eukaryota; Metazoa; Chordata; Mammalia; Rodentia; Muridae
Source: Ensembl